This 1568-nucleotide long non-coding RNA is filed under the name Cricetulus griseus (Chinese hamster). RNAcentral describes it as "lncRNA (ENSCGRG00015029866.1)". Lineage: Eukaryota; Metazoa; Chordata; Mammalia; Rodentia; Cricetidae. The record is from RNAcentral.
ACUGUUUUGUUGCUACUUGGUAAGUAGUUUUGCUAGUUAUGAAUCAAAUGUAAAUGUCUGUGUUUUCCCAUGGUCUUGGGUGACCCUGAAAUUGUCAUUCAACUCCAAAGAGAUAACAACCCACAGGUUGAGAACCACUGACUUAAAGAUUACAGCCAUGAUACAAUUAGAAACAGAGGAACAUUUUCCUGAAAAGGUUGGUAUUACAGCUAGUUCUAGUUUCUGAGGAAACCUGCCUGGUUAAAUGUUUUCCUAACCUUUGCCUGAAUGUUUUCUUAAUACAGAGCUCUGUUUUUCUCUGUUGUUUAUAAAGCAUUCACUUAAAAGUCUCUAACAUCAGCUAUAAAUGAAACUUUGACCUUGUUGAGACACUGUUUCCAAGUAGCAGAAAGCUUGACAAAAAGAAGAAAGUAUGAAGUAAAACAAACAGAACCUUAAACCACAGGCCAGCAGUCAUGAACCAGAAAGAGGAGGGAAAGAAAGCAGAACAGGAAUAGAAUGGACUGCUUUUAAUUCAGAAAUCAAGCUAUCUGUUCCUGGACACAUCCAAAAAGUGCAGUGGUGCAGCUUGUUAAGGGGAGGUGACAGAGGAUUGGGAGCUGGGGAAGGAAGAAAGAUCAUGUGAAAUCACUUAGUUCCUUUGGGGAGCUUCCUCAAUGAAUGACCGACAGUCCUAGAAUCUACCCCAGCCAUCACCACCAUAUGUAACUAAUACUGAAGUCAACACAAAUGCCAAGAAACAGGAGCAAGCAUUGAACCCGAAGCCCUGCAGGACAGCCUCACCGUAAUCCUUGUCAUCUGGGUGACCUCAUGCAAUGCAUACUGCUAUAUAUAUAGAUUUCUUCCAGGUCAACCAUCUGAUGCCACAAUGCUUCAUGUGUGCACCCAGCAUUGAGAACCACUGACACAAGGCAAAGCCAGUAGAGAAGUGAAGAAUUGAUUCAGGAUAAGCAGCAAGAACAAGCUGGUCCCCUAGCCACUUCUAUUGGAUUAAAAAGGAAGGCCUUAUUUUGGUCUCAUAUCUGUUUUGAAGUAAAAUCUAGAAGAAUUUAAGUUUGCUUAUAAACCACCAGAGGAAUGGACUGCAGUGCGCUAGAAUUUAGCCGUGAAUGCGUGGAUCUUGAUAAUGACAAACACCCCAUCAACUCUUACUGGGAGAAGAACUGUGAGCGCUGUGUUUGUAGAAAAGACAAGAUUUCUUGCUGCAGGCUACAGAACUUACAUGGCUGAGUACUUCAAGCAAAUGGAUUGCCAGGUAAUAUUCCACCCAGGGACCUGCACCUACACUGUGGAACAGAAAGACCCACAAAAGCCCUGUUUUAACUAAGUAGACACUGUGAACAUACUUCUGCUGGGCUCAGCACUCCCAGCCUGAAGGAUAUUUGUAAGCCAGGCUAUUCUCUAGUCACUUCUCAUAAUCUGUGAUUACAUAGCCCUACCUAAUAGUGUUUUAAAAACUUGGAUUUGAAUAUGUUUAUGUUUAAAAUUUGCCAAUUAUAUUUGUGUUGAUUUGAUGCAUGUAAUAGCACAACAAAUAAACACUUAAAGGAGACAAAAAUAAACACAAG